UACAGAGGGGGCAAGCGUUGUUCGGAAUUACUGGGCGUAAAGGGCGCGUAGGCGGCCCGCUAAGUCGAACGUGAAAUCCCCAGGCUUAACCUGGGAACUGCGUCCGAUACUGGCAGGCUUGAAUCCGGGAGAGGGAUGUGGAAUUCCAGGUGUAGCGGUGAAAUGCGUAGAUAUCUGGAGGAACACCGGUGGCGAAGGCGGCAUCCUGGACCGACACUGACGCUGAGGCGCGAAAGCUAGGGUAGCAAACGGG
This 253-nucleotide ribosomal RNA is filed under the name uncultured bacterium. RNAcentral describes it as "partial 16S ribosomal RNA". It matches the Rfam family "Bacterial small subunit ribosomal RNA", at positions 524 to 776 of the family's 1533-position model. The record is from RNAcentral.